Molecule: transfer RNA, 63 nt
Filed under: Echinostoma miyagawai
Lineage: Eukaryota; Metazoa; Platyhelminthes; Trematoda; Plagiorchiida; Echinostomatidae
Description: tRNA-Phe
Source: RNAcentral
UCUUUCUUAGCUUAAGAAUUUAGAGCGUUAGUUUGAAGAGCUAAAGACACUUGGUAGGAAGAG